CAAUGCAGGAAACUGUGAUAAGGGAACCCCGAGUGCCCGUAAACGCGGGCUGUCCCGGUGUUUAAAACACAUCGGAAGAAAGGGCCGGGCAAGACCGGUGCCAGCCGCCGCGGUAAUACCGGCGGCUCGAGUGGUGACCACUUUUAUUGGGCUUAAAGCGUUCGUAGCUUGAUUUUUAAGUCUCUUGGGAAAUCUCACGGCUUAACUGUGAGGCGUCUAAGAGAUACUGGGAAUCUAGGGACCGGGAGAGGUAAGAGGUACUUCAGGGGUAGAAGUGAAAUUCUGUAAUCCUUGAGGGACCACCGAUGGCGAAGGCAUCUUACCAGAACGGCUUCGACAGUGAGGAACGAAAGCUGGGGGAGCGAACGGGAUU
RNAcentral lists this ribosomal RNA (373 nucleotides) under uncultured archaeon. Its description in RNAcentral is "bacterial SSU rRNA". It matches the Rfam family "Archaeal small subunit ribosomal RNA", at positions 353 to 730 of the family's 1478-position model. The record is from RNAcentral.